GAAACUGUCCCGGGUCUUUUUCAUCGCAUGUGUCAGAAUCUGGAGCAGAGCAGGCCUGCCUGGACUGAGAAACGAGGUUAUAGUCAGCACGGCCGCUGAAACCAACACCCUCCAGCGGAGACAGAAGGCUGUUUCCAUGGUGAGACACAUUUAGAUUUGCACAGGCAGACCAGAACAUGAUGAAUAAUUGAUAGAUAUCAGGCCCUAAUGUUAGCACAAACCAGCUGAAGGUUAUUUCCAGCUAUGCUCAUGGACUCUUGAACAGCAAACUCAUGCAACAAGUAGACAAACACACAGUGCACUGUGGGAACUGAUGCUGGAUAUAGACGACUAUUACGUAACACACUUAAAAACUUUAAGUGUGAGUGAUUGUGCCCCUGAAAUGCAUUUCACUUAACUGUUUACUCUAGACACUCAGGGAAGAAGCAACAUGAAGCUACAGAGCGCUGUUUAAACAUUUACAAAUCUCUUGAAUGCUAAGAGGAAGCAUAACGACAACUUAAUACUGCAUAGGAUCAAGGCUGUCAGGCUUUUACAGCUGUUAAAACCUUGUACAACUUUUACAGUUCACAUCUCUGGAUCUGGGUUGGAUCUAUACACAUAAGGACCAUUCAAUGGCUGCACCUGUUCCCUGCUCUGCCUGCCUAUUAUCAACCUGGAGAGGGAGUGGCUUCAUACUGAACACAUGCAGCCACUGUGACCUCUGAGAAAAAAAAAAGAGACCAAGUGAGGUGAACAGCAUGCAUAUCCAAUUACAGUGAGGGGAUUCCAUCUGUCCCUUUGAGAUGUUGAUUCAGACUUCAGAGAACAAACACAGACUUCUAUUGCAAAAUGUUGCUGCAAAAACAGAAAAAGGAAAACUAAGCACCAUCCAAACACCCAUCAAGGAUCGCCAAGGGGCUGGAGUCUAUCCCAGCAUGCAUCAGGUUAUGCAUCCUGGAUAGGCAGUCUUUGCCAGGGCUAACCAUAGAGCAUAUAUAAUUUACAGUCUAUGGGGCUAACACAUAAAUUACAGUUACAGUAGGGAUUUUAACUCAUACAUAUACAUGAUAGGGAAAAUUCCCAAUUUAUGUGACCUGCUGUCUUUGUUUGGGGGAAAAGACCAAGAACAAAUCCCAUGCAGAAAGGCUCUGACUUGCCUGGUGGAGUUUGAAAAGGGCCUCCAUGACAACUUCCCAAAACAACUUGUGAUAGGGUUUUAAGUUUUUUAGCAAUCUGCUCAACUAGAAUUGUCUGUAAUAAAAUGUGUACUUUUUCUUACUAAUUUAGUUUCACAUCCUUUUUUUCCAGCUUAAGGAAUCUGAAUUUAAGGGGUUGCUAGUCGAAAGUGCAUUUUAAGGCAAUUAGCUACAUUUGAAUCAACUUGGAUUUUCUUUCCCAAGCGCAACACAUCGCCCUCUGCUGACUUUUACGAACAUUUAACUAAUAGAAAACGGUUAAUCUUUACAGCAUGCAGUAAGACACCUUCUGCUUAAAGAUUAACCUCGCUGUAACUUUCGUUUUAAUAUAGCAGGCUUCACACAAAUGGAUUUUGGAACAAAUUGCUUUAAGAUGAACGGACGUUGUGUUUUCUUUUAGAAAAAGAUGGCUAAACUAAACUUGGCGACAUUUCCCCCUCAGUGUUUGAACUUACCUUCAAAAUAGAUAAGACUCAUUAUUGUUCGGUUUCAAACCCUAAAAACGCAAUUUAACAAGACUUUAACGGCCAACUCCAAUUUAGAGCACUUACAACGAUUCAGGGUUAUGAAAGGCCUCGUGUUAUUGAAAAACCAGAGAGGAAAAGAAAGAAAACUAAAUUAGGCUCAGUCUUUUUCCAGCUUGCCUACAGUUAGGCUAC
Long non-coding RNA from Micropterus salmoides (largemouth bass), 1837 nucleotides. RefSeq lists it as uncharacterized. NCBI's taxonomy places the organism in Eukaryota, Metazoa, Chordata, Actinopteri, Centrarchiformes, Centrarchidae. The record is from RefSeq and is a predicted model, not a curated record. The transcript is spliced from 3 exons.